This 1492-nucleotide long non-coding RNA is filed under the name Chrysemys picta bellii (western painted turtle). RNAcentral describes it as "lncRNA (ENSCPBG00000009414.1)". Lineage: Eukaryota; Metazoa; Chordata; Testudines; Emydidae. The record is from RNAcentral.
UCAAAUGCUGGCCUUGCUGAGAGGGGAUGGAUAAAUCCACGUUAUCUUUCAGAUAGCCGCUCUUCUGUUUAUAAUCGAAUCAAGCAAGAGCAGCUGGUGAUACAAUGCGGUGUCAUGGCAUUUUGCAUGCCACUGCUGCAGGAAGCGGCCUACGAGGGCUGGCUGAAGAGCCAGAAGAAAGCCUUACAUCUCAAGUGUGUGAGCUAUCUAGAAGGGCAGGCUCACAAAUGCAGACGCUGCGGAGAAGGGGACUUCAUUUCAUUUCACCGCCACACCGUGGAAAUGAUGCUGGAGAGCAUCGAGUCUCAGGAAAACAUUUCUGAGCAGCACAAGGAAUACCCAUUCAGCGAAGCAGCCUCACUGAUCAUUUACACAACCCUGAAAAGGCUUCAGGGUCCUUCAUUUGAAGGGAUGGAGAGAAAAGCUGUGACAGCCGAGGCUUCCCUAACCAGCACAUGCUCCCCUGAAAGUGUCCAGAGGACAAGUGAAGGUAAAACGUCCCAUCAGAUACAGAACUCACAGUAACCUGGAGGGAACGAGGCAAGACCACCACACUCAAACCCAGGGAGCUGCGGAGAGAAAGAGGGGUGAAAAAGGAAGUGGCUGAAAGGGGGAGAGAUUGAGUGAAAUAGUAUGGGUGAAGGUAUGAGACAGAGCACAAAAAAGAAAAUGAAAGAGGCAGGUAAAGUAUUGGUAUGGAGAGUGGAGAAGGAUUCAAGGGCAGUGUAGUACUAGUAGCACAUACUCACCUAGUGGGCACCCCUCAUGCUGCCUUGCACAGGGUCCUUGUCUCUGGCCUCACCUACUGGGCUCACUCCCUGCCCUUCAAUGGCCUUUCUCAGGCUUCCUCUUUGCCCCUUCUGGGUACGCUGUGGCAUGGCCAUCUGACCAAGGCACAUGGAAAUUUAACCCCCUUUCAGGGAUAACAUGAAGAAGUCCAAAUGAAAGUCCAAUCAGAUCUUCAAACUAAUACCUCUUCUGCAGCCUCAGGGUCCACUGUAUUUCCCUUGCUGGCCCUGCCUCAGGACUUCUCCUGCAGAGGCCAAACCCACUCCUGUAGAGUUCUUCCUCUGGUGCUUCCUGUCUGUUAAACCUGCUGCUAGGGCUUUGCUCCAUCAGAAACCAGUGUCCACAGUAGUCUGUCCCCACCUGAGCACCCUCAGUCUACUUAAAAUGUCUUGCUCUGCUUCCUCUGGCCAGGAGGCAAUUAGUUAAUCACUCCCAAGUGUGGAGUAUGACUAAUCCGGGUUCUUUCCCUUGCCUUGCAGGUGAUGGGGAGAAAACCCCCUCACAGGCUUUUUUGCUGCCCCAAGCAAAAAAAAAAAACCAAAAACAAACAAACAAAAGAAAACAAACGGGGCAGCAAAAAACGGCAAAAGCAAAAAAAAAAAAAAACCUGCGGCGUGGCCGGAGCCAGGGUGCAGGGGGACUUCCAGCACUGCAGAUGUGCCCCAAGGGGGAGGGGGCGGCCAGAGCGGAACAACAACAACAA